RNAcentral lists this unclassified non-coding RNA (350 nucleotides) under uncultured fungus. RNAcentral describes it as "partial contains small subunit ribosomal RNA, internal transcribed spacer 1, and 5.8S ribosomal RNA". The stretch from base 1 to 73 matches the Rfam family "Eukaryotic small subunit ribosomal RNA", at positions 1759 to 1831 of the family's 1831-position model. Lineage: Eukaryota; Fungi. The record is from RNAcentral.
CCAAACUUGGUCAUUUAGAGGAAGUAAAAGUCGUAACAAGGUUUCCGUAGGUGAACCUGCGGAAGGAUCAUUAAAAGUACCUGCCGGCUUAGCUUUAACCGGCAGAUGACUCUGCGAUGUCACCAUCACUUUUGUGGUGGUGGAUCCCAGGUCUUACCCUUUGUGAAACUUCUACCUUUGCUUCGGCAGCACUCUCAGCGAAAGCUGGAGGGGUAAGGCUGUCAGAAGCCCAUAUCAAACCAGUUGAUGAAAUGUCAUGCUGUCUGAUAAACCACUAUUUGAGAAAUCAAAUUGAUCUUAAAACUUUCAGCAACGGAUCUCUUGGUUACCGCAUCGAUGAAGAACGCAGC